GAUUAACGCUGGCGGCGUGCCUAACACAUGCAAGUCGAGCGGCAGCGAGUUUUACACUGACUUCUGGAAGCUUCUAGUUGAAAGAGAAGAUUUAUUCAAGAAUUUUGUGUAAAAUGUCGGCGAGCGGCGGACGGCUGAGUAACGCGUGGGAACGUACCCCAAAGUGAGGGAUAACGCAUCGAAAGGUGUGCUAAUACCGCAUAUGGUCUUCGGAUUAAAGCCUUCGGGCGCUUUGGGAACGGCCUGCGUAAGAUUAGACAGUUGGUGGGGUAAUGGCCUACCAAGUCGACGAUCUUUAACUGGUUUGAGAGGAUGAUCAGUCAGACUGGAACUGAGACACGGUCCAGACUCCUACGGGAGGCAGCAGUGAGGAAUCUUCCACAAUGGGCGAAAGCCUGAUGGAGCAACGCCGCGUGCAGGAUGAAGGCCUUCGGGUUGUAAACUGCUUUUAUAAGUGAGGAUUAUGACAGUAACUUAUGAAUAAGGAUCGGCUAACUACGU
This 501-nucleotide ribosomal RNA is filed under the name uncultured bacterium. Its description in RNAcentral is "partial 16S ribosomal RNA". It matches the Rfam family "Bacterial small subunit ribosomal RNA", at positions 28 to 506 of the family's 1533-position model. The record is from RNAcentral.